Acinonyx jubatus (cheetah) is the source of this 8265-nucleotide long non-coding RNA. RefSeq lists it as uncharacterized. Lineage: Eukaryota; Metazoa; Chordata; Mammalia; Carnivora; Felidae. The record is from RefSeq and is a predicted model, not a curated record. The transcript is spliced from 5 exons.
CCCAGAGCCAUUCCUUGGGGGGUCUGGGGAACCUGCGGGGCUCUCCCUGCCUAUCCUCCCCCACUGUACUUCCUGGUUUCAGAUGAGCCUAUUAGGAGAAGGCACAGACAGGCGGAGGACUCCGCUUUGCUCCUUGCCAGCUAUAUGACCUUGAACAAGCCAUUUACUUGUUUCAGGGAUGUGACCACUGCUCUCCUCUCCCCCCCCCCCCCCCGCCCCAUCAAGUCCCUGAGAUCACAGUUAAGUAUGUGUGUUAGCUUUGGGGAGAACCUAGAAUUUCUUAUCAUUGGCUCCGCUGACAAUUGGGCAGGAUUAUUCCUCAUGGUGGGGCCAUCCUGUGUAUCGUAGGGUACUAAACAGCAUCCCUGGCCUCAACCCACUAGAUGCCAAUGAAACCCCCCAGUUUUGCCGAUCAACACUGUUUCCAGACAUGAAGAAAUGUCCCCUGGGGGGAGGGUUGCCAGACAAAAAUGCAGGUUUCCCAGUUAGAUUUGAAUUUCAGAGAAGCGACUCACAACUUUUUGGUAGAAUUCUGCCCUAAAGAUUGCAUUUUUACUUGCUAAAUCCAGAAACCCUGCGAAACCACCUCAGUUGAGAGCCGCUGCCCUGUGAGUGCCUGAUACUUGGGUAGGAGGCUAAGAUACCAGAUGGAGAAGAGGCAGCAGGAACGCACUGGCCCAGCCUGGCCGGGGAGGGGUGCUGUCUGGGGGCAGGCCCGGCAAUGAUGAGUGAGACUUCUGGUGACAUCAAACCUUCUCCUUCGGAAGCUGGUUCAGUGAGCUGUCAAUCAGUCACUAACCCUGCCCUGCCCUGCGAGACACUGGAGUCAAGCAAGGAGCAGCCACUGCACCCUGUUGCCCAGUCACUGGGUUGAUGAGUGAGACAACCCUGAAGGUCUAUUGAGUUCCUGGAUCCAGCCUGACCUGAAGCUAGCUCCCAAUAUGCGUCUCAAGGAAGAAAAACAUGGGGGCGAUUCUGGCGCAACAUGAUGUCACAAGAUAAAGGACAGGACCUCAUGGCCGCUGGAAAACUCAACAGUAAAGAGAAUGCCAGGACCCUAAAUAAACCCCUACUAACCCUAAGUGAGUCAGAGAAAGUCUCCACCGAUGACUCCCCAGGACCGUGCGGCCACCAACAGAGCCAGCCUGCUGGCCAAAAGAAGGUAGAAAGCGCUUUCAGGCCUGCCCAGUGUCUCCUGGCGGAUAAGUGUGGCCCUUACUCCCCCAGAUGCCAUGAGGCCACGUGGGGGGUGACGGCCCCGAGCUCCUCGCUGUCUGGCUCCCCGCAGAAAAACCCCAACUCCCAAGAAACGCCCGGGCCGGAAGCGGAAGCGCGGGUGCGUGCGUGCUGCAUUCUGGGAAGUGUAGUCCACAGAGGCCGGAAGAGUCCGUGAGAGCCGUGCAUUUGGGGGAAGGUAGUCCUCUAGUGGUCUGAGAGCCGGAGGCGUGAGCUGGAGUGGUUCACCUAAACCCCACGCCGUGGCGGGGGUUAACAGUUUGGGGACUUAGAGUGAAUACGUAGAAUUUGGUUUUGUCUCUCCCAACCACCAACACCCACGGAAGCGGAGAAUAGGACCUAUCCACGCUUCAGUGAUGGCAAGCAGGCCUGAGUUAUUCCGCCCUCGAACGAGUAAAUCAGCUGCGUAACCUCCCGGAACCUUUGUUUCCGUAUCUGUAAAACGGGCAGAUUAAUCAUUCUCACUUGGCAGCUUUGAUAACUCAAUCAAGUAACUAGCAAGGUGCUUAACACACCUUCCUUGCUUGACAAACCCCUCUUCCCUUUGAAGCUGAGCGUGCAGAGCAAAUGGAUGUGUUUUGUAACCAGGAGCAAAAAUUGUGCUUCAGCGGAGCACUUGGGACGUUUUCUUUGCAAAGUAGGAGUUCCUGCAAAUUCCAGCCAAAACUCAUAGGGGGAAAUAUAAGGAAAUCUUGUCACCCAGAGACUCAGCAAGGACGUGUGACCUUACUAGCCAACACACAGUAAGAUUGUUGAAACUUUCAAAGUAAACAGUAGGCAGCAAAAAGAACGAGAAAGCUCCAUAUGCACUGAUGGGGGAAAAGCUUCAAGAAAUGGGAUCUUGCAAAGCGUACUCUUUGGCUCUUGGUGGACGUGGACGGUGUGAAGGUGGAGGUACUUACAAUGUUUGAAGAGGGGGGGAGUGGGGAGCAGAGAUGGACUGCCAAGGUCUGGAGAGGGUGAGGUGGCCAGGGGACACCCUAAAAGGAAAGGUUCCGGAGGCACAAGGUUUAAGGAGGCCCUCACUCCAGACGUCCCGCUCGGGUCCCAGCCCUGUUGACUGCUUCUUGAUGACAGAACAGAAAAUCUGUAACAGCCCUUGCACUGGUGGGCUAGUCGUCACUGGUGGGUGACGGAUGUUUCUUCAGAGCUAGACUCGAGAUGGUGUUGGCAGACCGAGGCCACCACGGGGGCCAAGGCAGCAGAGUCAGGGCUCGGCUCCCCAGGCAGUGCCCCAGACCCCUCGUGCUGUGCUGUGUUGCGUGUUGAAGGGUUAGAUGACGCCAUGGAGGGCAGACGUCUGGACAGAUGGGACUCAACCGUUCUUGUCCUUGAGUUCUUUCUGAUUCUCUCUCCGUGUGUGGAGCUGCGUGGCUAAGGGUUUUCUCUGCACCUACCCUGGUGCCCAGCCUCCACCUGCUACCGGCCGCAGGUCUGGGCUCCUAGAGAAGGAGGUCCCCCGAGGGCCCUGGGGCCUCAGAGAUUGCCUUGACCUCACAGAAGCUGCGGCUUCUCAAUCUUUCCUGCACCCGGGGCACUGCAUUUUGGCAUUCCGCAGCUCACGCCUCUUGAGUUCAUACCACAAACUUUAGAGGUAAGGACUGUGUUAUCCCCAUGCUGCAGAUGAGGAAACCAGGGCCCAGAGAGGGGUAGCAACCUGUCCCUGACCACAGAGCUAAAAAGCAGCAGAGUAGGGAUUUGAACUCCCAACUCCAGAGGCACGUUCUUCACCAUGAUGCCCUGCUCCUCCAUUUUCAAGGACCACGAGCCUGCUGAGUGCUGGCCGCUAGGUUGGGGGUUCCCACUGUCCCCUGGACCUCGGGGGCCCCCAAGGCUGGAGGCCCGGAGGCCCUCUGAAUUCUAGAGUGUUUUCAGGACAUCCCUGGAGGGGUUAAAGCAGGUUGCGGUCUUAACUUCCCGGGGUGGGAGGUUCCCAGAAGCCCAGGGCAAGCUCGGCCCCUUUUUCCUGAGGGGAGGGGGUGGUGUGAGUUGGGACACGUCCUCUUUUAAGGUUCUUUCUUGCUGCUUCUGACCACUUCCUCUUUUCCCUGGGGCGGAGGCAGGCUGUGGCUGCACUAAUGGCAGGCAUCCCAGCAGUGGCCCAGUGGCCGAGGAGGCCUCUCAGUCUCUUCUGGAAGGGCUUGCUUGGCUGGGCGGUGGGCACUUCUCUGCCUGGGCUUCCAUCCCCUCCCCGCUGCCGCCAAGACCCUCCCCUGAGUCCCACCCAGAGAGCAGAGGGUGGGGGGCUCCCUGAGCUCUCCCUCAGCCAGACGGCUGCACACCCUCCAUUCAGGCUCCACUUGGGCUGAAUCUGCUUCCAGCAAUUUCCAUGGAGGACGUGGCCCAAGUUCAGGAACCCUGCCUGGACAGCCACACCCCUCAGGAUGCUCAGGGAGGUGAGGACCCCAGUUCUGGGUAGAAGGCCCAGCCUAGCACCUCAACCAUGAGUGCCCCAUGUGGGCAGGGGAGCUGUGGCCUGGGAAGAAGAUGGGCAUUGAGAAAUGUGGGUUCCAGGCCUGGCUCUGCCGCUUGUCGGCUGCUGUGCUUACCAGGUUGCUUUUCUUCUUUGACCUCAGUUUCCUCAUCCAUGCACUGGACAUAAAUAACACUUCAAAAGGUUGAAGAAACAAAUGCAGUGCUACAUGUAUCGUGCUAAGCAGAGAGCCUGGUACACGGCCAGGAUUUAGUGUCUUGCGUGUUACUGGGCAGAAACUGCAGCUGCCCUGAGCCAUCCAGGAUGCACUCCCCCCUCCCCCCAGCCCCUGCAGAGGAAGGCCGGUCACAGGUCACAGCUCCCCAACCCUGUUUCCUGCCUCCACCCUGUCUCCACUCCUUUCUGCCCCAGUAGCCCCCAGCUUCCCACUUGUAGCAGGUACAGCCCUCAAGUUCAGGUGGACAGGACCAUCACCUUUCCUCUGUAUCCUGUAGCCUCCCCACCCCAUCUAGCCAGGUUGGUAAAACAUCGACGUCAGUCAUCGUUGGGAUGUGCCCAGCCGAGUGUCGUGCCAAAGCCUUGGGUCAUCGUUUCUUUUUAUUGUGGUGAAAUACACAGAACAUGAAUUGAGCCACCUGUAACGAUUUUUAAGGGUAUGGUUCCAUGGCAUGAAGUAUAUUCACACUGCUCUAGAAACGUCGCCACCACCCAUCUCCAGAACUUUCUCGUCUUCCCAAACUGAAACCGUGUCCCCGGUAAACCAUGGCUCCCCAUGCCUGCCCCCAGCUGCUGCAACCCUUGUUCCACUUUCUGUCUCUAGAAUCAGACUGCCCUCCCUGCCUCUUAUAAGUGGAAUCAUGCAGUAAUUGUCUCUGUGUGACUGGUUUGUCUUCGAUUAGCACGGCGUCCUCAAGGUUCACCCGUGUGGGGGCACGGGGCAGAAUCUCCAUCCUUUUUAUUUAUGUUUGAAUAAUAUUCCAGCCUAUGUCUAGACCCCAUUUUGCUUGUCCACGUAUCCAUCGGUGGACACUUGGGUUGCUUCCGCGUCCUGGCUGCUGUGAAUAAUGUUGCUCUGCACGGGGGUGUGCAAAUACCUGUUUGAGUCCCUGCUUUCGGUUCUUGGGGGCGCAUACCUAGAAGUGGAAUUUCUAGAUCAUAUGGUAAUUAUGUUUGAUUAUUUUUUUUUUUUGAGGAAAUGCCCAAUGCCCCAAGGCACUGGGGAGCCCCUCUGGCCAUACUGUGUACAGGGAGAUAGGAAAUGAGGAGCAAGACAUCAUAGGCUCAAAUCCUGGUCCUGCCACUUCCCAGUGCUGUGACCUUGGGCGACUCACUUCAUUGUCUCAGCUGUGAUGAGGAAUGAGAGCAGCGCCUCCUGGGGCUGUGGUGGUGUUGAGAGCACAUACUUUGGAUGGUGCCUGGCGCACAGGGAGCCCUAGUGAUGUUAGCUGCGCCUCGUGGUGCAUCUGGACUCCUCCAGAGAUCUGAUCCUGCAACCUCACCGCUUCUGUGGUCCCACGCCAGCCUGGCCCCUCCAUGGAACAUGCCUUUGGAGCCGGCCCUGCUUCUUCCCCAGGACUCCAACUUCUUUCCCCCUUUUGCAGGUCCCUGGGAAUCUCUCCUCAUUGAGGGAGUUUCUCUUUCCCUGUCCGUCUGAGGCUUAUGCUCUUGAAAACAAAAGCCAGAAAGCAAUGCCUCAGGCUAACCCUGCGAGAGCCUGAGCCAGGACCAGAGGGGAAACCAAGGACACUGACCAACAGGUCAGCAUGGGCACAGGCGAAGAGGACCCCUUUCUUCUUUCCUUUGACCUUGGUCAUGCCAUUCUCGAUGGCUGGGUCCGGUCUAGGCCCCGUGUUUUGGGAAGGAUGAGGAGAGCUGGGAGGGUCACUGAGGACCGCCCACAGGCAUGAUUACAGGGACGGGGACGAGGCACUCUGGACUGAGAUGAAAGGAGCGGUGGUUUGGCACUUUCAACUCUAGGGGAGUCAGCCGGAGGGUUCCGGUCAGUGAGGGGUGGCUGUGGAGAUGAGAUUACCCCCCUCGCUGGGCCAGCAGCUAGGGCUCCCGGGCUGAGGCCGGCACAGUCCCACCUCUGGUUGAGGCCAAGCUGGUGUGCGGCUGUGUCCGGCCAGCUUGCCUGGUCUGCAUCCCCAGCCACCCCAACCCCGACCCUUGCUCCCGGGAAACUACUUCUGCUGACCGCGGAUGAUUCCUGGAGGAAGGUCAAGGCAAGACCUGGCAGGCUGAGGGCUUUGGUCCUGGGCGAUCACACCUGGAGGUUGGCCCAGCUGUGUCACCUCCACCUGUGACAAGAGGGGACAGAGAAACCUCCAGGAAGCCCCCCACACCUGGGACAUUCUCUUGCUGUCCCAUCACCUUUCCUUUCCUAUUCUGUCUUCUCUGUUCCUUUCACCUCGUACCAACUGGUGCGUGACUUGGAAAUUCACAAAGCAGUGCACUUUUCACCAUUUAUCAACACCCAGAACCUGGUGAGGAGCCAGCACUCAGUUUCUCUCAAGUGGGCUUUAGUGAAGGGCUUUUUUCCGUGGCCCUCUGGCAGAGCUCACAAUGGGGACCCCUACGACAUGCUCCCUAGCAUUGUCAAAACCAGUCCUGUCUUCACUAUUUGCAGACAUCCCCAAAGGGGCGCUGAUAUCUGUUCUGGGGCAUUAAAUAAAAUAUGCUGUGAAGGUUAAGUAGGAUAACAUGUGGAAAAUUCCUGGCACAUUAUGGUUAUCAGGAAAAAUAGUUAGCAUUUUUUAUUUUUAAAAAUUAUUAUUAUAUUAAAAGGGAGGACAAUAUUUAUUGAACACCUACUAUGUCCCGGAUACUGAAAUGUUGGAAUCCUGCGCUGGGAGUCAAGCUGACUUUCCCGGCCUACGUCAGAAGCAGUGACCCCCACAAAGGUCACCAUCCCAGCAACAAUACAAAGUGAGGGAAGUAUAGGGAGGGGAAGGACCAGCCGUGUGUCCUUAGGCAAACUGCCUCACCUCUCUGAGCCUAUUUCCUGACCUGUAAAGAGAGGCUGGAUAUCCUCCCUUCCCCUUCUGCUGGAGUCAGGGGUCAGAGGAGGUAAAGCCUGUGCCAGUCUUGGCAACCAGGAAAGUGCUGCCCAGCGGAGCAGACUGGCAGCUCUCAGUGGGAGACAAGCCCAUACCUACACCUUUAACUGAAUUCCCUGCUCUCAGCUCCUGAAAGCCAUCUCUGCAGGCUUGGGGAACACCCCUCAGGGACACUAGAACUGUGCUCUUCUCCAGGGCCCAUUAGGAAAAGAAUGUUCUACAAGUCCACCCAAAGGUGGUCAUUUCUCUGGUGACCCCCUUGUGGCCAUGCCACACUUUCAUCUGUCCCAUGCCCUGACUGCAGGCCAGUUGAUGUGGUGUGUUUCCAGGGAGACUGGGGAAGGUGACAGCAUUUCUGGGAGGAAAGAUGGGCUUGUCCAGGGGCACAGUGGGAUUUCCGAGGUUGGUGCUGAAGCUGAGUGGUAGAGCCGUGGUUAUAAAGAGCAGGUUUGCCAAGCCGUGGAGCAGUCGGGGAGGCUGGGUGGAUGGGCAGAGUUUCCCCUGGAGGCCAACUGGCUGACUUGCCAUUGUCCCUGACGCCUUCCAGACAAGGCUUAAUGGAAUGGUAGGAAUUUGCUGCUGGUCUGUAUUGUUAUUGCCAAUGUCCAUGGGGUACUUAUUCUGUGCUACUGAGAAGGUUACCUCCUGUAAUCCCCAAACAAAUUUAUAGCGCGGCUGCCACUAUUAUCCCCAUUUUACAGGUGAAGAGGCUGUGGUACAGAGAGGUUCAGUAUUUUGCUCAAGGUCACACAGUGAAGGAGCCAAGCCUGGAGUCCAGCCCAGGUCAUCUGAAGCCAGAGCCCGUGCAGAUGGCCAUGCCAUGCACCGUCACGGGCCAGGGAAGGACAAGCAGAGAGCUGAGUAGGGGAAAGAAGGAAGGUAAUCCCUAGGUCCCAGGUCCCACGUGAACCUUUCACUGAGAUUGGUGCUGAAUAGUGACAGACGUCACUAGAAGGGUGUCACUGGCUCUAUUUUAGCGAUGAAGAAUGGAAACACAGAGGGGUUGAGUUGCCCAAGCAAGGGGACUACACUUUGAACCAGAUGUGUCUACACUGCGAGCAUUGCUGUUUCGGUGACCCCACCACCUUAUCUUGUUUCUUUGGCAGUUUGUUCCAAGUCUGAUCUGUCUUGGGAACCUUGGGACCUGGAGCCCAGGCCUGGAACAGACAUACCAGACCUCUAUACAUGUUUUCUGAAAUAAUGUAAGAGAUCCCAGUUGUUUCACUUGCUGCUACUUUGGGCGAGGGAGAGGAAGUGUGGUCGGAGGUGUAGUGACCUCGCAUCUUUUGUGAGUGGAUGUUUGCUGAGCCUGAACCCUGCUGAGAUGAAGAGUUUGGAAAAGAGAAUCAUGUUGGAGCAGGUGUAUCUCCUUUACUUUGGGGGAGUUAAAGGAAAAGGAAAGCUCUAGGAAAGACCCAAAUUGAAAAUUUCUCCCUACCUCCCUUCCUUCCAUCUAUCCAUCCAUCUAUCCAUCCACCCACAUAUCCAUCCACUCAUCCAUCCAUCCAUCCACCCAUCCAUUCACCCCCCCACCCA